Molecule: ribosomal RNA, 274 nt
Filed under: uncultured bacterium
Lineage: Bacteria
Description: partial 16S ribosomal RNA
Rfam family: Bacterial small subunit ribosomal RNA
Source: RNAcentral
AUACGGAGGGUGCAAGCGUUGUCCGGAUUUAUUGGGUUUAAAGGGUGUGUAGGCGGUGUAUUAAGUCAGUGGUGAAAGCCUGCGGCUCAACCGUAGAACUGCCAUUGAUACUGACACACUUGAGUAUGGACGAGGUAGGCGGAAUUUAUGGUGUAGCGGUGAAAUGCAUAGAUACCAUAAAGAACACCGAUAGCGAAGGCAGCUUACUAGGCCAUAACUGACGCUGAGGCACGAAAGCGUGGGGAGCGAACAGGAUGAGAAACCCCAGUAGUCC